AUUAACGCUGGCGGUGUGUCUAAUACAUGCAAGUCGAACGGCUCGCAGGAGCAGUGGCAAACGGGUGAGUAACACGUUGGUACAUGCCCCGAAGUGAGGGAUACCCCGUAGAAAUACGGGUUAAUACCGCAUAUGAUCGCAAGAUUAAAGCAGCAAUGCGCUUCGGGAAUGGCCUGCGUACUAUCAGCUAGUUGGUGAGAUAAUAGCUCACCAAGGCUAUGACGGUUAACUGGUCUGAGAGGAUGAUCAGUCACAGGGAAACUGAGACACGGUUCCCACUCCUACGGGAGGCAGCAGUAAGGAAUCUUUCGCAAUGGGGGAAACCCUGACGAAGCGACACCGCGUGAACGAUGAAGGUCGGAAGAUCGUAAAGUUCUUUUCUGAAGGAAAAAUUCUGAUUGUACUUCAGGAAUAAGCACCGGCUAACUCCGU
Molecule: ribosomal RNA, 432 nt
Filed under: uncultured bacterium
Lineage: Bacteria
Description: bacterial SSU rRNA
Rfam family: Bacterial small subunit ribosomal RNA
Source: RNAcentral